Molecule: non-coding RNA, 45 nt
Organism: Schistosoma mansoni
Lineage: Eukaryota; Metazoa; Platyhelminthes; Trematoda; Strigeidida; Schistosomatidae
Source: Rfam
AUCCAGGUGACGAGUCGCAAAUAGAACGAAAUGUGCGUCCUGGAU